This 216-nucleotide long non-coding RNA is filed under the name Mytilus galloprovincialis (Mediterranean mussel). Lineage: Eukaryota; Metazoa; Mollusca; Bivalvia; Mytilida; Mytilidae. The record is from RNAcentral.
GCAUGAAGAAAAAAAGUCUGGAAAACUGAUUUGCUGGACUGAUGGACGGACAGACGAACAGACAGAGUGCAAACCUAUCAAAAAUACUGUGCAGUACAACAGACCACAUCAUCCAUGAACAUCUGACUAAAGGCAGGGAUCUUAUAUGGUUUUAAAGAUUUUUAUAUUGUAUAUGAUGAUAUAUAUUAGAUUGUGAUACUAUAGAAAACUGUUUAC